RNAcentral lists this ribosomal RNA (556 nucleotides) under uncultured bacterium. RNAcentral describes it as "bacterial SSU rRNA". It matches the Rfam family "Bacterial small subunit ribosomal RNA", at positions 338 to 915 of the family's 1533-position model. The record is from RNAcentral.
CCUACGGGAGGCAGCAGUGGGGAAUAUUGGACAAUGGGCGAAAGCCUGAUCCAGCAAUGCCGCGUGAGUGAUGAAGGCCUUCGGGUCGUAAAGCUCUUUUACCAGGGAUGAUAAUGACAGUACCUGGAGAAUAAGCUCCGGCUAACUCCGUGCCAGCAGCCGCGGUAAUACGGAGGGAGCUAGCGUUGUUCGGAAUUACUGGGCGUAAAGAGUACGUAGGCGGUUAUUCAAGUCAGAGGUGAAAGCCCGGGGCUCAACCCCGGAACUGCCUUUGAAACUAGAUAACUAGAGUCUUGGAGAGGUUAGUGGAAUUCCGAGUGUAGAGGUGAAAUUCGUAGAUAUUCGGAAGAACACCAGUGGCGAAGGCGACUAACUGGACAAGUACUGACGCUGAGGUACGAAAGCGUGGGGAGCAAACAGGAUUAGAUACCCUGGUAGUCCACGCCGUAAACGAUGAUAACUAGUUGUUCGGUCACUUGGUGACUGAGUGACGCAGCUAACGCAUUAAGUUAUCCGCUGGGAUACGGUCGCAAGNUUAAAACUUAAGGAAUUGACG